Molecule: ribosomal RNA, 429 nt
Filed under: Chloroflexota bacterium
Lineage: Bacteria; Bacillati; Chloroflexota
Description: Chloroflexi bacterium partial 16S ribosomal RNA
Rfam family: Bacterial small subunit ribosomal RNA
Source: RNAcentral
UGGGGAAUAUUGCACAAUGGGCGCAAGCCUGAUGCAGCCAUGCCGCGUGUGUGAAGAAGGCCUUCGGGUUGUAAAGCACUUUCAGCGGGGAGGAAGGCGGUGAGGUUAAUAACCUCAUCGAUUGACGUUACCCGCAGAAGAAGCACCGGCUAACUCCGUGCCAGCAGCCGCGGUAAUACGGAGGGUGCAAGCGUUAAUCGGAAUUACUGGGCGUGAAGCGCACGCAGGCGGUUUGUUAAGUCAGAUGUGAAAUCCCCGGGCUCAACCUGGGAACUGCAUCUGAUACUGGCGAGCUUGAGUCUCGUAGAGGGGGGUAGAAUUCCAGGUGGAGCGGUGAAAUGCGUAGAGAUCUGGAGGAAUACCGGUGGCGAAGGCGGCCCCCUGGACGAAGACUGACGCUCAGGUGCGAAAGCGUGGGGAGCAAACAGG